CGCAGCUUGAAAACAGCCUUGCAUAAUUGCAUCUGAAAUAUAAAGGGAAAACGACCAGAGAUAUUAUGUCUCUUCGCAAGGCUGUGCCUAAUUUGCUCCUCUCUGAUGAUUCUGUUUUCCAGGCUCUCUACAGUUUUCAACAAAACCCUUCAGCAGCAUCCGGCUAAUGUUGCUUUCUGAAAUGCUACAUUGAAGACAAAGGUUAAAUUUAAAGAGACUUCCCCGUGGCUUCCUUCCAAUGUAACAGUUUGCUGGAUGGUUGUACAAUCGAUGAUGCUGAGUCACCUGUUUGUCUUGUUCCAGGUGCUCUGGAGUCGACGCUUCUGAUCCAUGAAUCAAAAAUGUAGCAGAAUGUUCAAGCAUCCCUGGGCCCCUGCUCCGCCUCUUCUAUCAUUUGCUCCUCCGAAUUCUCCCUGACACCCGGCAUCCAAACAUCAACAGGAAGCCCUCGUGCCAAGUUUGGAGACAGCUGAACCUCUGCAAAAGAAAAAGGAAAGAAAAAAAGAGUGAAGUCA
Long non-coding RNA from Podarcis raffonei (Aeolian wall lizard), 515 nucleotides. RefSeq lists it as uncharacterized. The transcript is spliced from 3 exons. Lineage: Eukaryota; Metazoa; Chordata; Lepidosauria; Squamata; Lacertidae. The record is from RefSeq and is a predicted model, not a curated record.